Molecule: ribosomal RNA, 468 nt
Filed under: uncultured bacterium
Lineage: Bacteria
Description: partial 16S ribosomal RNA
Rfam family: Bacterial small subunit ribosomal RNA
Source: RNAcentral
GACGAACGCUGGCGGCGUGCUUAACACAUGCAAGUCAAACGGAAAGGCCCUGCUUUUGUGUGGUGCUCGAGUGGCGAACGGGUGAGUAACACGUGAGUAACCUGCCCUUGACUUUGGGAUAACUUCAGGAAACUGGGGCUAAUACCGGAUAGGAGCUCCUGCUGCAUGGUGGGGGUUGGAAAGUUUCGGCGGUUGGGGAUGGACUCGCGGCUUAUCAGCUUGUUGGUGGGGUAGUGGCUUACCAAGGCUUUGACGGGUAGCCGGCCUGAGAGGGUGACCGGCCACAUUGGGACUGAGAUACGGCCCAGACUCCUACGGGAGGCAGCAGUGGGGAAUAUUGCACAAUGGGCGGAAGCCUGAUGCAGCAACGCCGCGUGCGGGAUGACGGCCUUCGGGUUGUAAACCGCUUUCGCCUGUGACGAAGCGUGAGUGACGGUAAUGGGUAAAGAAGCACCGGCUAACUACGUG